CACGUAGGGCGCAAGCGUUGUCCGGAAUUAUUGGGCGUAAAGAGCUCGUAGGCGGUCUGUUGCGUCCGCUGUGAAAACUCGGGGCUUAACCCCGAGCCUGCAGUGGAUACGGGCAGACUAGAGGUAGGUAGGGGAGAAUGGAAUUCCCGGUGUAGCGGUGAAAUGCGCAGAUAUCGGGAGGAACACCAGUGGCGAAAGCGGCUACCUGGCCCAUUCUUGACGCUGAGGCGCGAAAGCUAGGGGAGCAAACGGG
This 253-nucleotide ribosomal RNA is filed under the name uncultured bacterium. RNAcentral describes it as "partial 16S ribosomal RNA". It matches the Rfam family "Bacterial small subunit ribosomal RNA", at positions 524 to 776 of the family's 1533-position model. The record is from RNAcentral.